Hemicordylus capensis (graceful crag lizard) is the source of this 72-nucleotide non-coding RNA. NCBI's taxonomy places the organism in Eukaryota, Metazoa, Chordata, Lepidosauria, Squamata, Cordylidae. The record is from the annotation of a RefSeq genome assembly.
GGGGCUGUAGCUCAGUGGUAGAGCAUCUGCUUUACAUGCAGGAAGUUUCAGGUUCAAUCCCUGACAUCUCCA